GCUUCCGGCAUAGGGCCGGAUAGCUGCGCUUGGACCUGUACGCGCUUCACCCUUCCCGGCUGUGAGUGUGGAGGACCGACCUGAAACGCAAGGGCCAGAAUGAGAAUAAAGGGAAGACCCCCGGCUACUGAAGGGAAGCCAAGGGGUGACUCUCUUCUGAAGCUAGGCAGGGUCAGGAAGGCUGCAGGUGUCCGGGCAAAGGACUUCCUUCAUGGUGCUAGAAGGGAAGGAUGCUGCCCCUUCAGAACAGAACAAUACUGAGGCACCUCGGUGGGAGCUGCUUCUCCUUCUGCUAUAUCUCUCUCUCUGUCUCUCAUGAAUAAAUAAAUAAAAUCUUAAA
Molecule: long non-coding RNA, 340 nt
Organism: Nyctereutes procyonoides (raccoon dog)
Lineage: Eukaryota; Metazoa; Chordata; Mammalia; Carnivora; Canidae
Exons: 3
Source: RefSeq, a predicted model, not a curated record